UACGUAGGGGGCAAGCGUUGUCCGGAAUUACUGGGCGUAAAGCGCGUGUAGGCGGGACGACAAGUCCGGCGUGAAAGGCUCGGGCUCAACCCGAGACGGCCGUUGGAAACUGUCGUUCUUGAGGGUCGAAGAGGAGAGUGGAAUUCCUGGUGUAGCGGUGAAAUGCGCAGAUAUCAGGAAGAACACCCGUGGCGAAAGCGGCUCUCUGGAACGGUACUGACGCUGAGACGCGAAAGCGUGGGGAGCGAACAGG
RNAcentral lists this ribosomal RNA (253 nucleotides) under uncultured bacterium. RNAcentral describes it as "partial 16S ribosomal RNA". It matches the Rfam family "Bacterial small subunit ribosomal RNA", at positions 524 to 776 of the family's 1533-position model. The record is from RNAcentral.